Molecule: long non-coding RNA, 473 nt
Filed under: Equus asinus (donkey)
Lineage: Eukaryota; Metazoa; Chordata; Mammalia; Perissodactyla; Equidae
Description: lncRNA (ENSEASG00005035386.1)
Source: RNAcentral
CUCAGAAAGAAACAACAGGGAGUUAAGCUUUUUGAAACCUUGAAUGUUCAUUUGCCUGCACUAUUUCCUUCACUAUUCAUUUCAAUGAUGUGAAGCAGAUGAUGCUGAAGUGUAAUCCUCAGGAUUUUGCCCCUGCUGGAAGUAUAGAACAGAGUUUUCAACAGACUGACGCUCCCUUAAAGUUCAUUUUAGUCGAGUAAGUCAUCUGAAUCAUAACUGGAAAUGCGUCUAAGCUACUGCCCAUAUCUCUGUGAUAUACUUCAAAAUAACCUUGGUUUGAAUUAAGCUUGCAGAUAAAUGAUCCUUGACUAACAUAGAUCUCAAAAGUAUGAAAAGCUUUUGCUUGGGAAUGCCUGCAUGAAGAGACUAUGAAGGACAAAAAUAUCUUAAUAUGGAGCAGAAAUCUUAAAGGAAGAAAUCCAUGGUUAAGAAGACAACUUGUCACUAUUCUCUAAAAUUUGAGCAUUUAAAUG